UGUGCAAUCAUGUAUUAUGCGACACCUAUUAAAAAUUAUAUAUUUUCUUUCCCAAUUUAUUUUAACUCGAAAAAAAUAUUAUUUUAGGUGAAGUAAUUUAACAGGUAUUGACGAUGGGAAAAAAAUCGGUAUCAAAAAAAAUAUGAGAGAGGAAAAAUAGAAUACUAAAAAUAAAAAAGGAACCGACAAAAAAAUGAAAAUAAAAACGAAACCGAAAAAAAGACCAGGCCCCUUGUCGCAACGUGAUCGAACGAUUACGGGCUCCCCCAAUUUUCUCCCUUUUUUCCUCUUUUUUUUAUUGAUUUUUG
This 308-nucleotide long non-coding RNA is filed under the name Gossypium raimondii (Peruvian cotton). Its description in RNAcentral is "long non-coding RNA (GRAI_LNC003250)". The record is from RNAcentral. Lineage: Eukaryota; Viridiplantae; Streptophyta; Magnoliopsida; Malvales; Malvaceae.